CUCUCUUCAAUUUUUUAACGAAAUUUUUUGUUCCAUGUUUCAGUGCGAGACUCAAACAGUGCGCCAGCGCGGGGCCCUAAAGAGCCCAAGUCCCCCACCAAACGCGAGGGCCCCAAUAAAGCUGGGCCCAGAUGUUUUUUUUUGUUCCCUGUUUCAGUGCGGGGCCCCAAAGAGCCCAAGGUCCCCAGAAAACAUCAGUCCCCAAAAUUUAAAAAUCGAGGCCCCAAAUAGUCGGGCCCGAAACGUUUUUUUUUUUCUUUUUCCUGUUUCAUCGCAGGAUCCAAACAGCGCGGGGCCCCAAAGAGUCCAAGGCCCCUAAAAGCGAAGCCCCCAAAUAAAAAAAACCCACAAGUUUGUUCCUUCUCUGGGCAAGGGGCUCCAAAGAGCUCGAGGCCAAAAAAAUCAUAGGGGUCAGAAAAUAUCAAAAUUUGCAGUAAACAGUUAAAUACUAAAAGAUUGCGAAAUCUUGUGGAAGAUGGCAGAAGUUCAUAUGGACGGUAUCAUGUUUAGUUAUUUCUCCCCUGCAAGUAAUAAUAAUGUUAAUGGUAUAAACUGGGUUGAAAUUCAGUUCGAUCAAAUUAUUGAUGUUUAUUAUAUAAAGUAUAGUGCUUUAUAGAGAUUUCGAGCACUGAUGAAAGUGAUAAUCUCACAUGUGAGAUUAUUCAUGAUAAUCUCACAUGUGAAAAUUAUCGCUUUUCAAUUAGGGACUGGUCAUAAAGUAACUGUGAGGUAAAUCACAAAUUUUGCCAAUACGUUCGGUGACCCAUCUUAGGAUGUAGAUAAAAAUUUCAAAGCCCAUCUAAUCUUACAAAAAAUUUUUCAUGACCCACUCAAUCUAAAUUGGGAAAAUACACUUUUAUAAUAAAAAAAAACUUGCAGGUAUGAACAUUGUAAAUAUACACGGCACUGUAUUGACAUACGUAAUUCCACCAAGCUUGACCAACACAUUGAUACUGAACUGCUCUCCAGUUGGUUGUAUUUGCUGUGAUUCGACCACUUUUUGUUGUUGUAUAAACAAAGUACUUGCUUCAAUAGCAUCAUUUGCAUUUGAUAAUUUGGAUAGUUUUGUUUACUCUUAUUAUUAAUAUCUUUAUUUUUUAAAGUAGACAUGCAUGGGUUUUUGUUUGGUGGCCCAACCGUGGACAUACAAAAAAAUUGGCGGCCCAUCGAAACUGCUCAAAGCUUUUUCAUGGCCCAUUCCAAAUCACUCCAGCCCACCCUAGCAGUUACUUUAUGACCGG
This is a non-coding RNA of Paramuricea clavata, 1241 nucleotides long. Lineage: Eukaryota; Metazoa; Cnidaria; Anthozoa; Malacalcyonacea; Plexauridae. The record is from the annotation of a GenBank genome assembly.